Parascedosporium putredinis is the source of this 82-nucleotide non-coding RNA. Lineage: Eukaryota; Fungi; Ascomycota; Sordariomycetes; Microascales; Microascaceae. The record is from the annotation of a GenBank genome assembly.
GGUCCAAUAGUCUAGUUGGUUAGGACGUCGGAUUCUGAUUCUGAAAUUUCCGUAAGCCCAGGUUCGAAUCCUGGUUGGACCU